RNAcentral lists this ribosomal RNA (446 nucleotides) under uncultured bacterium. Its description in RNAcentral is "partial 16S ribosomal RNA". It matches the Rfam family "Bacterial small subunit ribosomal RNA", at positions 338 to 795 of the family's 1533-position model. The record is from RNAcentral.
CCUACGGUGGGCAGCAGUCGAGAAUCAUUCACAAUGGGGGAAACCCUGAUGGUGCGACGCCGCGUGGGGGAAUGAAGGUCUUCGGAUUGUAAACCCCUGUCAUGUGGGAGCAAAUUAAAAAGAUAGUACCACAAGAGGAAGAGACGGCUAACUCUGUGCCAGCAGCCGCGGUAAUACAGAGGUCUCAAGCGUUGUUCGGAAUCACUGGGCGUAAGGCGUGCGUAGGCUGUUUCGUAAGUCGUGUGUGAAAGGCGCGGGCACAACCCGCGGAGGGCAAAGUAUACUGGAAGCGAAGAGUAAUGGAGGGGGAACCGGAAUUCUCGGGGUAGCAGUGAAAUGCGUAGAUAUCGAGAGGAACACUCGUGGCGAAGGCGGGUUCCUGGACAUUAACUGACGCUGAGGCACGAAGGCCAGGGGAGCGAAAGGGAUUAGAUACCCCAGUAGUC